Molecule: long non-coding RNA, 254 nt
Filed under: Elaeis guineensis (African oil palm)
Lineage: Eukaryota; Viridiplantae; Streptophyta; Magnoliopsida; Arecales; Arecaceae
Description: long non-coding RNA (EGUI_LNC051420)
Source: RNAcentral
CCUAGGGUUUGAUUUUUCCAUAUGUUGGAGUCCAAAAUCAAAUCCUAAGUUGUAAGACAUCUGAAGAGUGUCUUCUUGGCAUGAUUCUGGUGAUAAGAUCGAAAGCAACUGGGCUUUGGUGUGAUCAUUCCUCGAGUUCGAAGCCAGCAGUGUUCUUGAGAAGAUAAGGCUGCAAAUUUGUACUGGUUAGGAAGGACCUUGGCCAACUUUCAUGUGGAUCAUUGUUGGAGGGCUUCUACUUUGGCAUCUUGUGG